This 250-nucleotide ribosomal RNA is filed under the name uncultured archaeon. RNAcentral's name for it is "partial 16S ribosomal RNA". It matches the Rfam family "Bacterial small subunit ribosomal RNA", at positions 524 to 773 of the family's 1533-position model. The record is from RNAcentral.
UACGUAGGGUGCGAGCGUUAAUCGGAAUUACUGGGCGUAAAGCGUGCGCAGGCGGUUCCAUAAGACAGAUGUGAAAUCCCCGGGCUUAACCUGGGAACUGCGUUUGUGACUGUGGGACUCGAGUGUGGCAGAGGGGGGUGGAAUUCCACGUGUAGCAGUGAAAUGCGUAGAGAUGUGGAGGAACACCGAUGGCGAAGGCAGCCCCCUGGGUCAACACUGACGCUCAUGCACGAAAGCGUGGGGAGCAAAC